Molecule: ribosomal RNA, 593 nt
Filed under: uncultured Acidibacter sp.
Lineage: Bacteria; Pseudomonadati; Pseudomonadota; Gammaproteobacteria
Description: bacterial SSU rRNA
Rfam family: Bacterial small subunit ribosomal RNA
Source: RNAcentral
UGUCCCUACGGGAGGCAGCAGUGGGGAAUAUUGGACAAUGGGGGCAACCCUGAUCCAGCGACGCCGCGUGUGUGAAGAAGGCCUGCGGGUUGUAAAGCACUUUUAGUGGGGAUGAAAAGCCUGGCGCUAACACCGUCGGGUCUUGACCUAACCCACAGAAAAAGCACCGGCUAACUCUGUGCCAGCAGCCGCGGUAAUACAGAGGGUGCGAGCGUUAAUCGGAAUUACUGGGCGUAAAGCGUGCGUAGACGGUCAUACAAGUCGGGUGUGAAAGCCCCGGGCUCAACCUGGGAAUUGCAUUCGAGACUGUAUGGCUAGGGUGCGGAAGAGGGAAGUGGAAUUUCCGGUGUAGCGGUGAAAUGCGUAGAUAUCGGAAGGAACACCAGUGGCGAAAGCGACUUCCUGGUCCGACACCGACGUUCAGGCACGAAAGCGUGGGGAGCAAACAGGAUUAGAUACCCUGGUAGUCCACGCCAUAAACGAUGAGAACUAGACGUUGGAAGGGUAAGCCUUUCAGUGUCGCAGCUAACGCGUUAAGUUCUCCGCCUGGGGAGUACGGCCGCAAGGUUGAAACUCAAAUGAAUUGACGGGGA